This 484-nucleotide ribosomal RNA is filed under the name uncultured bacterium. RNAcentral describes it as "partial 16S ribosomal RNA". It matches the Rfam family "Bacterial small subunit ribosomal RNA", at positions 28 to 523 of the family's 1533-position model. The record is from RNAcentral.
GACGAACGCUGGCGGCGUGCUUAACACAUGCAAGUCGAACGAUGAAGCUGGAGCUUGCUCCGGUGGAUUAGUGGCGAACGGGUGAGUAACACGUGAGCAAUCUGCCCUUGACUCUGGGAUAACUGCGGGAAACUGUAGCUAAUACCGGAUACCUUCACUGGAAGGCAUCUUCUGGUGAAGAAAGAAUUUCGGUCAAGGAUGAGCUCGCGGCCUAUCAGCUUGUUGGUGAGGUAACGGCUCACCAAGGCGACGACGGGUAGCCGGCCUGGGAGGGUGACCGGCCACACUGGGACUGAGACACGGCCCAGACUCCUACGGGAGGCAGCAGUGGGGAAUAUUGCACAAUGGGCGCAAGCCUGAUGCAGCAACGCCGCGUGAGGGAUGAAGGCCUUCGGGUUGUAAACCUCUUUUAGCAGGGAAGAAGCGAAAGUGACGGUACCUGCAGAAAAAGCACCGGCUAACUACGUGCCAGCCGCCGCCGUAA